AAAAUGUAUGCCUGAAUAUUUUGGUUUAUAUGAUACAUUAAUUUUUUGGGACACGUGUCUUCUUAUAUUGAGAAUUUCAUCUAUCAACCAUUCCAUAGAAUAAAUAUCUAAAUGUAAUAUUGUGAUAUUACAAGAAAAUGUCAAUUUCUUUUGCUAUAAUCAUAUUGUAAUAUUACAUGAAAAUCUCGAUAACCCUUGAAUGUUAAUCGUCCCACACUCCUCUAGCUAUGGCAGUGAGCUUUGGUGUGCUUAGUUUUCAGCCUCAAUCUUCAUCAACGUCAUCAUUUAAGGAAGCCAUUAGAAGUUCCAUACUUUCUAAAUGAUAAAAAGCAAGAUCUACAAAUCAACAACAAACAUAGAGUUAACGAAUACCUUAUCAUACUAUUCAAUUAUUUUGGCGUCAAUAAAAAUAUAUUACAGAAAAAUAUAUAUUAAAUUACCUUAUUUAUAGAUAAUUAAACUAACCAAAUAUAUAUUAAAUUGCCUUAUUGUGUCUGAGCUGCAAAUGAAUAGGUGAAGUACCACUUCAUGGUCUUGCCUUGCCAAUGCAUCAAGAUAGAAAAUGUAAUUGAUGAUAAGACCUAGUACAAGGAAUAUUCUCCAUUUAUUGCUACAUUCAUAGAUAAUACAUAAAAUUAAUGAAACACACCUAAUAUAUAUAUAUAUAUAUAUAUAUAUAUAUAUUAUAUAACAAUGCAUCUAAAUUAAGGUUGUUAUUAGAUUUUAUCAUUCUUUAUUAUUCGGUAUUUUAUUAUUAGAUAAUAAUGUUAGAAUAUGUAAAAUUACAAAAUAUUUCCAAGCUAAUUAAUAUUUGUAAUAUGAAAUAGGAAAACAUUUUUCUCUUAUAAUAAAUAUUUAUUGAAAACUUGAUUAAUGAUAUUUUUGGAAAACAUGAAUCAAGUUACUAAGGGGUUUCACUAUUAUCACUUCAUGGGAAUGACUUCAUUUUACUUGUUAUAAAAAUUGAUUUAAUUUAUCCCCACCAUGUUGUAGAAUUAGCUUUAUUAAAAAAUGUAUAUGAUGAAUUAAGAUAAGAAAUUUAAAUUCACAAACAUAAUAAACUAAUAAAACAAAAAAAUAAAAAUAAAGAGAUGCUAGAAAUAUAAAUAAUUUAAGAUAAUAAUUUAAAUUCACAAUCAUAAUAAACUAAUAAAACAAAAAUAUAAGUAAAUAAUAAAUGCCAAAAAUAAGAAGAAAUGGAUGAAUAAACUUACCUCAACUAUUAUACAUGAAUAUUAACCUCAAAUAGCGGUUCACAAAGAGGAGUGAAACAAAAUCCAAAUAACGAACUUAGA
Molecule: long non-coding RNA, 1295 nt
Filed under: Lupinus angustifolius (narrow-leaved blue lupine)
Lineage: Eukaryota; Viridiplantae; Streptophyta; Magnoliopsida; Fabales; Fabaceae
Description: long non-coding RNA (LANG_LNC002997)
Source: RNAcentral